This 463-nucleotide ribosomal RNA is filed under the name Streptococcus infantis. RNAcentral describes it as "bacterial SSU rRNA". It matches the Rfam family "Bacterial small subunit ribosomal RNA", at positions 28 to 476 of the family's 1533-position model. The record is from RNAcentral. Lineage: Bacteria; Bacillati; Bacillota; Bacilli; Lactobacillales; Streptococcaceae.
GACGAACGCUGGCGGCGUGCCUAAUACAUGCAAGUAGAACGCUGAAGGAGGAGCUUGCUUCUCCGGAUGAGUUGCGAACGGGUGAGUAACGCGUAGGUAACCUGCCUGGUAGCGGGGGAUAACUAUUGGAAACGAUAGCUAAUACCGCAUAACAGUAGAUAUCGCAUGAUAGCUGCUUGAAAGGUGCAAUUGCACCACUACCAGAUGGACCUGCGUUGUAUUAGCUAGUUGGUGAGGUAACGGCUCACCAAGGCAACGAUACAUAGCCGACCUGAGAGGGUGAUCGGCCACACUGGGACUGAGACACGGCCCAGACUCCUACGGGAGGCAGCAGUAGGGAAUCUUCGGCAAUGGACGGAAGUCUGACCGAGCAACGCCGCGUGGGUGAAGAAGGUUUUCGGAUCGUAAAGCUCUGUUGUAAGAGAGAACGAGUGUGAGAGUGGAAAGUUCACACUGUGACGGU